Triticum dicoccoides is the source of this 1193-nucleotide long non-coding RNA. RefSeq lists it as uncharacterized. Lineage: Eukaryota; Viridiplantae; Streptophyta; Magnoliopsida; Poales; Poaceae. The transcript has 2 exons. The record is from RefSeq and is a predicted model, not a curated record.
CGCCUCGGUCUCCCCUCCCCCACCUACCGCUCCCACUCCAUCCUCCCUACCAGCCUCUCUCCCUCUCGCCCCAGAUCCCCGUCGACUGAGCUCCAUCGCCGCCGGCUACCUCACACUGCCGCGGCCACCGGCCAGCCCUCACCUCGCAGGCAUGUCAUAGAGCUCCACCACUGGCCGUUACAUCGCCUACGCCAACCGGAAUGAGCCCGGGGCCCCUGCAGCGCGUCGUCGCCGUUGUCUUCUCCACCUCCGGCCACCAGGCGCUAUCACGGCUCCAUCAACCUCUGUUGCUCCUAGACCUCAGCCAUCUUGAGCUCCGCGGACACGAGAAGUUGUUGGCUAUUGGAGAGGCCAGGGAGUUUCCAGGAAUGCUCGGAUCAAUUGAUUGCAUGCAUUGGCAAUGAAAAAACUACCCCCAAAAGUUUGUGGGGAAUGUAUGAAGGUCACACCAAAGAGGCCACCAUCAUACUAGAAGCGAUGACAUUACAUGGCUUAUGAAUUUGGUAUGCAUUCUUUGGAAUGUCGGGUUCUCAUAAUGACAUCAACGUGCUUCAACGAUCUCCGGUGUUGAGGAGGCUUUGCAAUGGGGAAUCACCGCUGCGCAACUACACCGUCGAUCAACGGUCGAGACUACAACAUGAGAUACUAUUUUGCUGAUGGCAUCUAUCCUUGGCGGGUGACAUUUGUGAAGACCAUAUCUGAACCGCAUGGAAAUAAACAAAGCCACUUUGCAACAAUGCAGGAAGCGGCUAGGAAGGAUGUGGAGAAGGUAUUUGGUGUGCUUCAAGCUCGUUGAGGAAUUGUUCGUGGCGGUGCAAUGGUGUAGGAAUCGGAAACUUUGUGGCAGCUCGUAACAUGUUGUAUUAUUUUGCACAAUAUGAUUAUCGAGGAUGGGGGUGAUGGUGUAGCCCAAACCAAUGAUUUCGAAGCACCAGGAGAACACGUUAAAAUCUCGGAAGAUCAAGGUGCAACUUAGCUCCUGAACUUUCUGCAAAUGCAUCAGAAUCUUCGAGAUCAUCAGGUGCACGUGCAACUUCUGAAUGAUCUUGUGGAGCAUAUCUGGACCCACAAUGAAAAUCAAAGAGCUGAUGUUUGAGUUGUGCAUUUAAAAUAAAUUUUAUGUAAACACUAUUUUAUAUUCGCUACCAAACAUUUGUUAUUUACAUGUGAAUGGGAUGUAUGAUCGACGUGCA